GUCUCUCUCCGCACAGAUCGGAUGCCGGCUUGAUCCGCUCCCUUCGCACCGUGCCGGCGGGAUUGCGCCCGGAUAAAGUCAGCUCGGGGGAAGGCAAGAGCACGGUUCAUACACUCCCGGCCGCAGCCAUGAGCAGGGGAAAUGCUGGCCUCGGUGGUGAAAGAUUAUUUCACAUGAGCAGCACUCUUCGGGAAAGCUGUUGCCAGAUAAGGUGGCGACUGUACUUUGAAGAGGAACAAUGAGAAGUGACAGACAAGACCGUGUUUACCAAACUGAAUAGAGGACUCGCAGGUUUCCACUCACUGCUCGGUUACCUAAGCCCAGGGAAUCAAGGCUGGAGUGCUGUUUCACCAAGCCGGAUCAGUAACAAAGUGACUUCAUUCUCUGUUUUCAACCAGAGAAUAUGCGGGUGCUAUGUAUUUAUGAAGUGCUGGGCUGAUUCCUGUGAGAGGAUGUGCAGUGUCCCUUUUCCUUUGCCAGGCAGACCAGAGAACAUUUGCCCAUACUUCACGAGAACUGGACUGCACAUCCACUGUACCCAGACUUGUUUUAGAGUGAGCACUUUCAGUAUCACGACAUAAUUUCCAGGGCAGCAGCUGGCAGCAGCAUCAUUAUUAACUACCUUCAAGGACACAGUGUGCAGAUAGACUGGAACUAACUUCUGGGGCUUCACUUAGGACGCAGGUUGACUGUCGCUGAAUGAGAGAUUUUGAAGAAAUUAACCUUAGCAAAGAUGCAAAAGGAGAAGAAAGGCAAUGGUAAAGUCCAAAGUGGUAUUAUUCUAGAGACAAAAAGAGACUUCAAAAAUUUUUGAAGAGUGUUUUGAAAUAAUUUUACCCACUAAUACUAUAAUAAAGCAGCCAGAGAUACAAUGGUACCA
This 880-nucleotide long non-coding RNA is filed under the name Cyanistes caeruleus (blue tit). RNAcentral describes it as "lncRNA (ENSCCEG00000016521.1)". Lineage: Eukaryota; Metazoa; Chordata; Aves; Passeriformes; Paridae. The record is from RNAcentral.